CUACGGGCGGCAGCAGUGGGGAAUAUUGGACAAUGGGGGAAACCCUGUUCCAGCAAUGCCGCGUGUGUGAAGAAGGCCUGCGGGUUGUAAAGCACUUUCGGUUGGGAGGACUGCUUCUAGCACUAAUAUUGUUGGAAGUUGACGUUACCUUCAGAAGAAGCACCGGCUAGCUCCGUGCCAGCAGCCGCGGUAAUACGGAGGGGGCAAGCGUUGCUCGGAUUUAUUGGGCGUAAAGGGUGUGUAGGCGUCUCUUCAAGUCAGGUGUGAAAUCCCAUGGCUCAACCAUGGAACUGCACUUGAUACUGUCGAGAUUGAGCUUAGGAGAGGUAAGCGGAAUUCCAGGUGUAAGGGUGAAAUCUGUAGAUAUCUGGAGGAACACCAGUGGCGAAGGCGGCUUACUGGCCUAAAGCUGACGCUGAAACACGAAAGCUAGGGGAGCAAACAGGAUUAGAUACCCGUGUAGUC
This 465-nucleotide ribosomal RNA is filed under the name uncultured bacterium. Its description in RNAcentral is "partial 16S ribosomal RNA". It matches the Rfam family "Bacterial small subunit ribosomal RNA", at positions 339 to 795 of the family's 1533-position model. The record is from RNAcentral.